UACGUAGGGUGCAAGCGUUAAUCGGAAUUACUGGGCGUAAAGCGUGCGCAGGCGGUUAUGUAAGGAAGGGGUGAAAUCCCCGGGCUUAACCUGGGAACUGCAUUUGUGACUGCAUAGCUAGAGUACGGUAGAGGGGGAUGGAAUUCCGCGUGUAGCAGUGAAAUGCGUAGAUAUGCGGAGGAACACCGAUGGCGAAGGCAAUCCCCUGGACCUGUACUGACGCUCAUGCACGAAAGCGUGGGGAGCAAACGGG
This 253-nucleotide ribosomal RNA is filed under the name uncultured bacterium. RNAcentral describes it as "partial 16S ribosomal RNA". It matches the Rfam family "Bacterial small subunit ribosomal RNA", at positions 524 to 776 of the family's 1533-position model. The record is from RNAcentral.